This 241-nucleotide long non-coding RNA is filed under the name Pelobates cultripes (western spadefoot toad). The record is from RNAcentral. Lineage: Eukaryota; Metazoa; Chordata; Amphibia; Anura; Pelobatidae.
CAAUCUUUUAUUUCUUUGUAAGUCUGUUAAUCUUCUGUAUCGAAUGAACUCUGUAGAAUCUUCCAUCAAAGUUUGCAGAUCAGAUGAAAAGUCUCUUUCCAACAGUUGAUGUCCAGUUGUCUGAAGGAAUGCUUUCCUGAUUUAUUGCCACAAGGAUCUGUCACGCUUAACCUACAUUAAAACAAAAAACAUGUGCAGCAUCAAUGGCUUACAAUGUUUAUAUAUCAUUAUAAUUAUACAG